AUGGAUGGCUACGAAAGCGGUCGGGAUGACGCGGAGCACCGCCGCCGUCGUAGAUCCGUCGCCGCACGCAAGCGGGGGGCGUGGAGGUGGCUCAACCACAGGAGCCGGCCGCCGCCGGCGUUCCAACGCCACGAGCUCUACGAGUACGAGGGCGAGCUCGCGGUCCGCCGCCACGCCUCCUCCGGCUCCUCUGCCGCGGGGAGCUCGUCCGCGGGCGCCUCGAGCUCACGGCUCACUCCGGUCAAGAGAGAGCCGGAGGAGCUCGGGCCGCUCACCGUCAAGAUCGAAGCCGACGCGCCGCCGCGUCGAGGAGUAAUCGGCCCCGAGGACUACCUCCCCCUGGGGCACGAGGAGCACCUAGAGCGCGCCAUCAUGGAGCGCUCGGCGAGGGAGGAGGAGUAG
Molecule: ribosomal RNA, 402 nt
Filed under: Triticum aestivum (bread wheat)
Lineage: Eukaryota; Viridiplantae; Streptophyta; Magnoliopsida; Poales; Poaceae
Description: partial small subunit ribosomal RNA
Source: RNAcentral